UUGCGGCGACGAGGAUGACGAGGACGGCUGUUGAUACAUGGUACGUGCUGGUUUUUGCCAGACAACUACUAUACAAGCUGCUGCAGAAAGAAAUUAUCGCAGUUAAAGACUUAGAGAGAGAGAGAGGAGAUGCUAGUAUGAGAGAGGAGAAGGAGAUUGCUAGAUGGGGAAAUGUCGACUGAGUAGUUGUUGCGUUCGCCUGAGCUCUCUAUUGUUUUGUAAUAUAGUGUAGUGUAUAGAGACAAUCUACUUUAU
This 255-nucleotide long non-coding RNA is filed under the name Populus tremula. RNAcentral describes it as "long non-coding RNA (PTRE_LNC001762)". The record is from RNAcentral. Lineage: Eukaryota; Viridiplantae; Streptophyta; Magnoliopsida; Malpighiales; Salicaceae.